RNAcentral lists this ribosomal RNA (459 nucleotides) under uncultured bacterium. RNAcentral's name for it is "partial 16S ribosomal RNA". It matches the Rfam family "Bacterial small subunit ribosomal RNA", at positions 338 to 795 of the family's 1533-position model. The record is from RNAcentral.
CCUACGGGUGGCAGCAAUGAGGAAUAUUGGUCAAUGGCCGGAAGGCUGAACCAGCCAAGCCGCGUGAGGGAGGAAGGCGCAGCGCGUCGCAGACCUCUUUUGCCGGGGGACAAAAGGCCGGACUCGUCCGGUCCUGAGGGUACCCGGCGAACAAGCAUCGGCUAACUCCGUGUCAGCAGCCGCGGUAAUACGGAGGAUGCGAGCGUUAUCCGGAUUUAUUGGGUUUAAAGGGUGCGCAGGCGGUCUGUUAAGUCAGCGGUAAAAAUGCGGUGCUCAACGCCGUACAGCCGUUGAAACUGGCAGUCUUGAGUGGGCGAGAAGUAUGCGGAAUGCGUGGUGUAGCGGUGAAAUGCAUAGAUAUCACGCAGAACUCCGAUUGCGAAGGCAGCAUACCGGCGCCCGACUGACGCUGAGGCACGAAAGCGUGGGUAUCGAACAGGAUUAGAUACCCGUGUAGUC